RNAcentral lists this ribosomal RNA (419 nucleotides) under uncultured Prevotella sp. RNAcentral's name for it is "bacterial SSU rRNA". It matches the Rfam family "Bacterial small subunit ribosomal RNA", at positions 358 to 774 of the family's 1533-position model. The record is from RNAcentral. Lineage: Bacteria; Pseudomonadati; Bacteroidota; Bacteroidia; Bacteroidales; Prevotellaceae.
GGAAUAUUGGUCAAUGGGCGAGAGCCUGAACCAGCCAAGUAGCGUGCAGGAUGACGGCCCUACGGGUUGUAAACUGCUUUUUCCGGGGAAUAACCGGCGUCACGUGUGGCGCCCUGCAUGUACCCGGUGCAUAAGGACCGGCUAAUUCCGUGCCAGCAGCCGCGGUAAUACGGAAGGUCCGAGCGUUAUCCGGAUUUAUUGGGUUUAAAGGGAGCGCAGGCUGAUGAUUAAGCGUGACGUGAAAUGUAGCCGCUCAACGGCUGAACUGCGUCGCGAACUGGUUAUCUUGAGUGAGUUCGAUGUUGGCGGAAUUCGUGGUGUAGCGGUGAAAUGCUUAGAUAUCACGAAGAACUCCGAUUGCGAAGGCAGCCAACAAGGCCUUUACUGACGCUAAAGCUCGAAGGUGCGGGUAUCGAACA